CCCUUAGAUGUUCUGGGCCGCACGCGCGCUACACUGAUGCAUUCAACGAGCCUAUCCUUGACCGACAGGUCCGGGUAAUCUUUGAAUCUGCAUCGUGACGGGGAUAGAUUAUUGCAAUUAUUAAUCUUCAACGAGGAAUGCCUAGUAGGCGCAAGUCAUCAGCUUGCGUCGAUUACGUCCCUGCCCUUUGUACACACCGCCCGUCGCUCCUACCGAUUGGGUGUGCUGGUGAAAUGUUCGGAUCGGCCGUUUGUCGCGGUUUCCGCGUCAUGUGGCUGAGAAGUAAAUUAAACCCUCCCACCUAGAGGAAGGAGAAGUCGUAACA
RNAcentral lists this ribosomal RNA (325 nucleotides) under uncultured eukaryote. RNAcentral describes it as "partial 18S ribosomal RNA". It matches the Rfam family "Eukaryotic small subunit ribosomal RNA", at positions 1470 to 1796 of the family's 1831-position model. The record is from RNAcentral.